UUUUGGGGUUGGUUAUGGGAUUUUGGGGGUCGGUUAUGGGGGUCAGUUGUGGGGUUUGGGGUCACUUGGGUUGGUUAUGGGGUCAGUCAGUUGGGGUGAUAGGGUCGGUUAUGGGGCUUGGGGUCAUUUGGCUUGUUGGUUAUGGGGUUUUGGGGAUGGUUAUGGGGUUUGGGGUCAGUUAUGGGGUUUUGGGGUCACUUGGGUUGUUGGUUAUGGGGUCAGUUAUGGGGUUUGGGGUCACUUGGGUUGUUGGUUAUGGGGCUUUGGGGAUGGUUAUGGGGUUUGGGGUCAGUUAUGGGGUUUGGGGUCACUUGUGGGGUUAGUUGGGGUGAUAGGGUCAGUUAUGGGGUGUGGGGUCACUUGUGGGGUUGGUUAUGGGGUCUGGGGGGUCGGUUAUGGGGGUCAGUUGUGGGGUUUGGGGUCUUCCUCCCAAGCGUUGCCCGUUGCCAUAGCAACCGCCGCCGGGGGGGGGGGCUUUGAGGUGCAGGGUAAGAGACCCCGCGCUGGGCGUCGCCAUCUUGGAAGCGGGAGCCGCCAUCUUGGGAGCGAGCGGCGCCAUCUUGGAGUCGGGCGCCGCCAUCUUGAGUGGGCGGUGCGUGGAAGAGCUCCGGGAUCGGGGGGUGGGGGGGGAGGGGAAAGGCCACGUGACCCACAGCGUCGCCCCACAUCUCUGCCCCACAUUGACCCCAUCGUGCCCCACACAUCCCAGCCCCACGCAUCCCAGCCCCACACGUCUCUGCCCCACACAUCCAUGGGGUUUAUUGUUGGAAUGUGCCGCGGUUGGGGGUCAGGAGCUGGCGCAUGUGGGGCGCUGCCGGGGGGGGGCAGGCACUGCGGUGGCGUCGGUGGUGACGUCAGAGGUGACGUCACCGGUGGCACUGGUGACGUCGGCGGUGACCUCGGCCGUGACGUC
Molecule: long non-coding RNA, 913 nt
Filed under: Numida meleagris (helmeted guineafowl)
Lineage: Eukaryota; Metazoa; Chordata; Aves; Galliformes; Numididae
Description: lncRNA (ENSNMEG00000000481.1)
Source: RNAcentral